Molecule: long non-coding RNA, 261 nt
Filed under: Lathyrus oleraceus (garden pea)
Lineage: Eukaryota; Viridiplantae; Streptophyta; Magnoliopsida; Fabales; Fabaceae
Description: Pisum sativum (pea) long non-coding RNA (PSAT_LNC027904)
Source: RNAcentral
CUUUUAAAAAAGGCCAAGAUAAUUAAACAAGUUAUUUUAUCCCAUUGUGAUUAUCUCUUUAUCUUACAAUUUUCAUGUAUUUUUAGUUGAAUAAUUCACAUUCAAAACAUCGUAUAUAAUAUUCUUUGGAAUCGUUAAACCACCUACAACCGAGAGGAACAAAAUCCAUUUAUCCACGUAAUCGUUUAAAUAGAAAAAUCAUUGUUGAAAUGUAUUAACCAUUAGACUUAACUUUGUAUAUUUUUUUAAGAAAACUAAAAU